RNAcentral lists this non-coding RNA (23 nucleotides) under Cricetulus griseus (Chinese hamster). Lineage: Eukaryota; Metazoa; Chordata; Mammalia; Rodentia; Cricetidae. The record is from RNAcentral.
CUGAACAGUCAUGAGGAAAAUGC